This 464-nucleotide ribosomal RNA is filed under the name uncultured bacterium. RNAcentral's name for it is "partial 16S ribosomal RNA". It matches the Rfam family "Bacterial small subunit ribosomal RNA", at positions 339 to 795 of the family's 1533-position model. The record is from RNAcentral.
CUACGGGUCGCUGCAGUGGGAAAUAUUGCACAAUGGGCGCAAGCCUGAUGCAGCCAUGCCGCGUGUAUGAAGAAGGCCUUCGGGUUGUAAAGUACUUUCAGCGGGGAGGAAGGGAGUAAAGUUAAUACCUUUGCUCAUUGACGUUACCCGCAGAAGAAGCACCGGCUAACUCCGUGCCAGCAGACGCGGUAAUACGGAGGGUGCAAGCGUUAAUCGGAAUUACUGGGCGUAAAGCGCACGCAGGCGGUUUGUUAAGUCAGAUGUGAAAUCCCCGGGCUCAACCUGGGAACUGCAUCUGAUACUGGCAAGCUUGAGUCUCGUAGAGGGGGGUAGAAUUCCAGGUGUAGCGGUGAAAUGCGUAGAGAUCUGGAGGAAUACCGGUGGCGAAGGCGGCCCCCUGGACGAAGACUGACGCUCAGGUGCGAAAGCGUGGGGAGCAAACAGGAUUAGAUACCCGUGUAGUC